Molecule: ribosomal RNA, 468 nt
Filed under: uncultured bacterium
Lineage: Bacteria
Description: partial 16S ribosomal RNA
Rfam family: Bacterial small subunit ribosomal RNA
Source: RNAcentral
GACGAACGCUGGCGGCGUGCUUAACACAUGCAAGUCGAACGGAAAGGCCCUGCUUUCGUGGGGUGCUCGAGUGGCGAACGGGUGAGUAACACGUGAGUAACCUGCCCUUCACUUUGGGAUAACUUCAGGAAACUGGGGCUAAUACAGGAUAGGAGCCCCCGUUGCAUGGUGGGGGUUGGAAAGUCUCGGCGGUCGGGGAUGGACUGGCGGCUUAUGAGCUUGUUGGUGGGGUAGUGGCUUACCAAGGCUUUGACGGGUAGCCGGCUUGAGAGGGUGACCGGCCACCUUGGGACUGAGGUACGGACCAGACUCCAACAGGAGGCAGCAGUGGGGAAUAUUGCACAGUCGGCGGGAGCCUGAUGCAGCGACGCCGCGUUCGUGAUGACGGUCUUCGGGUAGUGAACCGCAUUCGCCUGUGACGAAGCGGUAGUGACGGUAAUGAGUGAAGAAGCACCGGCUAACUACGUG